Molecule: unclassified non-coding RNA, 291 nt
Filed under: uncultured fungus
Lineage: Eukaryota; Fungi
Description: sequence contains ITS2
Source: RNAcentral
AACGCAUCUUGCGCCCUUUGGCUAUUCUGAAGGGCAUGCCUGUUUGAGAGUCAUUAUUAUUAUCAAACUUUAGAGUUUUUGUGGACUCUGAAGCUUUGGAUAUGGAGGAUUAUUGCUGGCAAAUUCAUGUUGCUGGCUCCUCUCAAAUGCAUUAGCGGAACUUGUCAAUGUCUUGGCUCUGGUUUGAUACAUAUCUAUGCCAUUGCUGAGGAGCUUUCAUGGUUCAGCUUCUAAACCCCCCUCCCUUUGAAACUUGACCUCAAAUCAGGUAGGACUACCCGCUGAACUUAA